RNAcentral lists this long non-coding RNA (540 nucleotides) under Homo sapiens (human). RNAcentral's name for it is "non-protein coding lnc-LRRC58-5:1". Lineage: Eukaryota; Metazoa; Chordata; Mammalia; Primates; Hominidae. The record is from RNAcentral.
CCUCCGAGGCUGGCGAUCGGCGGAGCUCCCACCUCCGCUUACAGCUCGCUGCCGCCGUCCUGCCCCGCGCCCCCAGGAGACCUGGACCAGACCACGAUGUGGAAACGCUGGCUCGCGCUCGCGCUCGCGCUGGUGGCGGUCGCCUGGGUCCGCGCCGAGGCCUGUGCUACUGGGUUCCAGAAGAGCUGCCUGGGAGCAACCAGCAUCUCACCCCAUACGCCCCACUGCAGACCUCCCCCUGCUCUCCCCAGUUCUGUGAAUUCCUUUGUCCCCAGCUCCAUGGUAUUCUGUGUAUAUCUGAGGGGCCCUGGUGUUCCUGUGAAGUUUCCAUGACUAAUUCUGGCAAAGCAAAGAGAGCCUUUCUCACGUCAACAAAGCCACUCUGUCGCAGAAUAGUGGCAAGUAGAGCCAAAAUUCCACCUUGGCAUAAGUAGAGCUGUUCUUUUUUAAAAGAGUUGGAAGGAGGAAAAGAAUGGAGGGGACAGAGCCGGCCCACUUCAUGUUAGUGAAAUGAUGGUAUAUUAAACUGACAGUUUUAUG